Molecule: ribosomal RNA, 497 nt
Filed under: uncultured bacterium
Lineage: Bacteria
Description: partial 16S ribosomal RNA
Rfam family: Bacterial small subunit ribosomal RNA
Source: RNAcentral
GAUGAACGCUGGCGGCGUGCCUAAUACAUGCAAGUCGAGCGAACAGACGAGGAGCUUGCUCCUCUGUCGUUAGCGGCGGACGGGUGAGUAACACGUGGAUAACCUACCUAUAAGACUGGGAUAACUUCGGGAAACCGGAGCUAAUACCGGAUAAUAUAUUGAACCGCAUGGUUCAAUAGUGAAAGACGGUUUUGCUGUCACUUAUAGAUUGAUCCGCGCCGCAUUAGCUAGUUGGUAAGGUAACGGCUUACCAAGGCAACGAUGCGUAGCCGACCUGAGAGGGUGAUCGGCCACACUGGAACUGAGACACGGUCCAGACUCCUACGGGAGGCAGCAGUAGGGAAUCUUCCGCAAUGGGCGAAAGCCUGACGGAGCAACGCCGCGUGAGUGAUGAAGGUCUUCGGAUCGUAAAACUCUGUUAUUAGGGAAGAACAAAUGUGUAAGUAACUAUGCACGUCUUGACGGUACCUAAUCAGAAAGCCACGGCUAACUACGUG